Molecule: ribosomal RNA, 254 nt
Filed under: uncultured bacterium
Lineage: Bacteria
Description: partial 16S ribosomal RNA
Rfam family: Bacterial small subunit ribosomal RNA
Source: RNAcentral
UACGGGGGGAGCAAGCGUUGUUCGGAUUUACUGGGCGUAAAGGGCGCGUAGGCGGCCACCGCAAGUCGACCGUGAAAUCUCCGGGCUUAACCCGGAAAGGUCAGCCGAUACUGCGGGGCUAGAGUGCAGAAGGGGCAACUGGAAUUCUCGGUGUAGCGGUGAAAUGCGUAGAUAUCGAGAGGAACACCUGCGGCGAAGGCGGGUUGCUGGGCUGACACUGACGCUGAUGCGCGAAAGCUAGGGGAGCAAACGGG